AGAGCGAACGCUGGCGGCAGGCCUAACACAUGCAAGUCGAGCGGCCGUAGCAAUACGGCAGCGGCAGACGGGAUAGUAACACGUGGGAACGCGCCCUUCGGUUCGGAAUAACUCAGGGAAACUUGAGCUAAUACCGGAUACGCCCUUACGGGGAAAGAUUUAUUGCCGAAGGAACGGCCCGCGUCCGAUUAGCUAGUUGGUGAGGUAAUGGCUCACCAAGGCUCCGAUCGGUAGCUGGUCUGAGAGGAUGACCAGCAUCACUGGGACUGAGACACGGCCCAGACUCCUACGGGAGGCAGCAGUGGGGAAUAUUGGACAAUGGGGCGCAAGCCUGAUCCAGCCAUGCCGCGUGGAUGAUGAAGGCCUUAGGGUUGUAAAGUCCUUUUAACGGGGAAGAUAAUGACGGUACCCGUAGAAUAGCCCCGGCUAACUUCGUGCCAGCAGCCGC
Molecule: ribosomal RNA, 448 nt
Filed under: uncultured bacterium
Lineage: Bacteria
Description: SSU rRNA
Rfam family: Bacterial small subunit ribosomal RNA
Source: RNAcentral